This 454-nucleotide ribosomal RNA is filed under the name uncultured bacterium. Its description in RNAcentral is "bacterial SSU rRNA". It matches the Rfam family "Bacterial small subunit ribosomal RNA", at positions 329 to 797 of the family's 1533-position model. The record is from RNAcentral.
GAGUGGACUCCUACGGGAGGCAGCAGUGGGGAAUAUUGGACAAUGGGGGCAACCCUGAUCCAGCAAUUCUGUGUGCACGAAGAAGGUUUUCGGAUCGUAAAGUGCUUUCAGCAGGGAGGAAGGAAGUGACUGUACCUGCAGAAGAAGCGACGGCUAAAUACGUGCCAGCAGCCGCGGUAAUACGUAUGUCGCGAGCGUUAUCCGGAAUUAUUGGGCAUAAAGGGCAUCUAGGCGGCCGGGUAAGUCCGGGGUGAAAACUGCUGGCUCAACCAGCAGCCUGCCUUGGAAACUACCCGGCUGGAGUGCUGGAGAGGUGGACGGAACUGCACGAGUAGAGGUGAAAUUCGUAGAUAUGUGCAGGAAUGCCGAUGAUGAAGAUAGUUCACUGGACGGCAACUGACGCUGAAGUGCGAAAGCUAGGGGAGCGAACAGGAUUAGAUACCCUUGUAGUCCU